CCCUCGAUAGCUCAGUUGGAAGAGCGUGAGACUGUAAUUGGUUACCCCAGCGCAUCUCAAGGUCGAAGGUUCGAGCCCAUCUCGAGGGA
Molecule: non-coding RNA, 89 nt
Organism: Gloeopeniophorella convolvens
Lineage: Eukaryota; Fungi; Basidiomycota; Agaricomycetes; Russulales
Source: the annotation of a GenBank genome assembly